UCACCGAGACCGACACCACCGCCACCUUCUCGACCUUGUGCCACCGCCGCCACAGAACUCCGGCGACAUGCACCACCACCAUCAAGUCGUCCUCUUCUUCCCCUGCCUGAUGAUACCCAUCGAUCAUCCAUACUCUUAAUUUCCAAUUAGAAUGAAGUUCGAACAGUAGCCGAGCCUUCCAUGGUUCGCGGCGAGAUCAAGUAACUCCGGCAAGCUUCUUGGCCACAAUUUGGUGAGUUUAACAUUUAUUCUUCUUACCCAGUUCAAUUCUUUCCUCAAUUCUAUGAAAUCAGAAUUGAUUAAUCUUUCCCUCUUUCUACAUCAACGUCACCACAUCCCCGUCGAGCUUUACUGUCGAUGUUCUUAUCUAAGGCGAGGCUUUCUACCGUCGGUGACACACCUUGAUUCCAUGUGAACAUUGUUACUCUCCUUUUUCACUGGUGAUAGAGCGAGCUUGGUGAACAUCAGGGGCGAAGUAGAAGUAUUGUGGAAGAUAUAUACAUGUUAGGGGUCCGGACCCGUCAAAGGUAAACGUGGUUCCGCCCCUGACUUGGUCAAUAUUGUGAACGAGUCCAUUUAGUGUAGAUCCAGUGGAAAGAAAUGUUUUAGUUUGAGCUAAUUUUCCGAUUGAACAAGGUUUCACAUACCCAGAAGAUGACUGUUUUGAUAGAAUAUAUAGGGUAGUAAAAACAUCGACAGUGAAACAGGAAAUUUAUGAAAAGAGAUGAUGCAGGAACAGCAUUAGAUACAACCAUCCAAAUAUCGAGCAGCAUCUUAAGAGUGUUUCUACUUGUAAGUGUUUCAAUAUGAACCUUGAACAUGUAUUUCAGGUUCCUUUUUUUCUCAUCUAGUCAAUAUAUAACUAAUAUAAGGUAUCACCAUUACUGUCUU
This is a long non-coding RNA of Argentina anserina (silverweed cinquefoil), 891 nucleotides long. RefSeq lists it as uncharacterized. The record is from RefSeq and is a predicted model, not a curated record. The transcript has 3 exons. Lineage: Eukaryota; Viridiplantae; Streptophyta; Magnoliopsida; Rosales; Rosaceae.